This 301-nucleotide ribosomal RNA is filed under the name uncultured bacterium. Its description in RNAcentral is "partial 16S ribosomal RNA". It matches the Rfam family "Bacterial small subunit ribosomal RNA", at positions 509 to 807 of the family's 1533-position model. The record is from RNAcentral.
CAGUCGCCGCGGGAAUACGUAGGUGGCAAGCGUUGUCCGGAAUUAUUGGGCGUAAAGGGCUCGCAGGCGGUUUCUUAAGUCUGAUGCGAAAGCCCCCGGCUCAACCGGGGAGGGUCAUUGGAAACUGGGAAACUUGAGUGCAGAAGAGGAGAGUGGAAUUCCACGUGUAGCGGUGAAAUGCGUAGAGAUGUGGAGGAACACCAGUGGCGAAGGCGACUCUCUGGUCUGUAACUGACGCUGAGGAGCGAAAGCGUGGGGAGCGAACAGGAUUAGAUACCCCAGUAGUCCCUGUCUCUUAUAC